CAGAGAUAGUAUCUUUCCCGCCAUGACGUCGUCCAUAAUGGGUAAUCACCGGAGGUCGAUCAUCCUCAGCCAUCUGGAUGAUAUAUGGGUGUGAUAUAGACCGGAACCACUCCAAAUAUGCAGGAACACAGGUUCCAACAUCAGUUGCUAAUACUACACCCUGUACGAGGUUAGCAUUAUAAUCUAACCAUCGAUGGUCGAUAUCAGAUGUGGAUGGAUCGCCAUGAUGAACGGUGGUUGGGUGACUAGGGAUACACUGUAUAUAUCCAAACUGUCUGAGUAUACAUUCAGGCAAAUGCAUUUGCCUACAACCGCUCAACCGAAUGUACCCUGAAAAUAAUGAAAUCCACUCAAAAGGACGCACCGCUCUAUGCUCUUCAUAGGGCAUCCAUUGAACAACACCAACACAAAGGCUAUCUAAUUGCAUCUGAACUGAGGCAAGUGUGGACAACCUACUCCCGACCACAUAUUUCAUACACAGUGGCUGAUCCUCAACAUAGUCAUCCCGAAGCUGUCGGUGUCCAAUACUCGGAAAGUGCUCAUAUAUCCAUGAUGAAAAUAACGUGACAUACCCAGCUAACUGUUUAGUAUUUGCAUAGGAACCAUCUCCCAACUGCUUAAACAUGUGGUCAAAGUAGCUGCUGCCCACGAGUAUCCUCCGGUGUGCCUUAAAUCUACAAAUAAUCCCAAGUAGGAUACACUAACCGACGUAGCAGUCUUAUCUGCAAAGAUGGUGCAACCUACUAGGUGUAGCAAAUAUGUCCAGCAACAGUCCAUUGUCUCCUGGUACAUGCGUCCUCAUACAUCUCCCUCAACCAGCUUAGACGCACAUGUCCACCUCGACAAUGACGAGUCUCAGCAGUUGCUACUCCCCGAUCUAUACGAAGUGAAUCAACAAACAAAUUGGUCAUCGUAGCUGUAUCCAAGCUCAGAUACGUGUAGAAUUGCCCCAUAAUUGGGAGGUGCAACAAAUUCGACACAUCAUCCAAUGUGAUGGUCAACUCACCUACAGGCAGAUGAAAUGAAUUUGUCUCUGGGUGCCACCUUUCUACAAAGGCACACAACAGUCCUUUGUCUAUCGUGUCAUAGCUUGCCCUAACAAGUGCAGCUAAACCUGACAACUCCACUGCAGGUAGUAUCCGAGGAUGAGGAGCACCUAUCUUACUCAUUUUUCGGCCAUGAGACACCAAUUUUAACUCUCCUCGAUCCUAAUUUAACCAACCAAAAUCAUAUACAAUUUAAUGAACGAAAGUCAUAUCAAAUUAACAAUGAACAAGUAUCAUAUUACAACAUAUUUACUUACCACACCAUUCCAUAAUUGCAUGGCCACAUGGUCUUCAUAACCUGUCAAUAGUGUCCCAUCCCGUGGACCUCCAGGAUAACCUUCACCUUCUAUUUCAGGUGCGUCUUUAUCCUCCACCUCCAUUUGGGGUUCAGCUUCUUCAAGCUCAACAUCAACAUCUUCUGCAUCUUCAUGUUCAACAUGUUCUUCAUCUAACAUGUCUUCUUCUUCUUCUAACAGAGGCUGUGGGACGUAGACGAUCACCUUGUGAACCUCCUCCCCUAGUCUUCA
Molecule: long non-coding RNA, 1573 nt
Filed under: Phaseolus vulgaris (common bean)
Lineage: Eukaryota; Viridiplantae; Streptophyta; Magnoliopsida; Fabales; Fabaceae
Description: long non-coding RNA (PVUL_LNC003832)
Source: RNAcentral